Molecule: transfer RNA, 92 nt
Filed under: Alphaproteobacteria bacterium
Lineage: Bacteria; Pseudomonadati; Pseudomonadota; Alphaproteobacteria
Description: tRNA-Ser
Rfam family: tRNA
About the family: Transfer RNA (tRNA) molecules are approximately 80 nucleotides in length. Their secondary structure includes four short double-helical elements and three loops (D, anti-codon, and T loops).
Source: RNAcentral
GGAGAGAUGGCAGAGUGGUCGAAUGCGGUUGACUCGAAAUCAAUUGUGCGUGUUAAAGCGUACCUAGGGUUCGAAUCCCUAUCUCUCCGCCA